GUCAAAGUGAGCGUACUUUGCAUCGCAGGCCAUGGGGGUGAAGUCCAGCUUGUGUUUGGUUCUGAAGGUCAUGUUCUUGGUCCUGAUCUCCAGGAUGGAGGGGGGCUGGAGAGGCGUAGCGAUGGCAAACAGGGCCAGCUGGGGCGGCGCCUUGACCAUGUUUUCCUGCCGCUGGUUCUGACCACGCAGGAACUUCAGCCUGCCCUGCAGACUCAGGGCCUGGCAGGGGCAGGGGGAGGGGGGAAACGCAAACAUUUAGUCUUAGACAUGUAUCUUUUCGUCUUCGAUUGUCCAUGUGUUUGAAUAUCUGUCCAAAGUCUAUCCAACAACAAUCUGAUUUACAUCCAUCAAAAUUGUAUUUCAACGUGUAUAUCACAUCACCCUAUGUCAAUGUGUGAGCUUUCCUCUGAGUGAGCUUAAAAUACUAAUAGACCAACACUAUUGGGAGGUUGUAGGCAUUCGGUCGGGGUGAGGUGUCAAUAACACCUACCAGGAAGCUCAGAGACUCACCAGGAAGCUGAGAGACUCACCAGGAAGCCAGAGGAGUUGUCCAGGAGGCAGCGGAAGCGGCACACGAAGUUCCUCUCCAGGAAGGAGGAGUUCUCUGGUGGGAGCUGCUCAGGGUUAUAGGUCACAGUGGUGCUGCUCUCCGGCUCCACAUCUAUGGAUCAGAAGAUAUGACAUGUUCAGACCAGGCUUUUAUCAUCAAAAUCAUCUAACCACCUAUUGUACUAUGUUUGGAAACGAUCCUCAAGAUUACAGCAUACAGGUCACUGCGCUUUCUGGUACUGGUCGGUCACGUGGUCCAUCCAACGCAUCCAUGAGGAAAAAGGCUGCCACGUCCUACCACUGCCCCGUCCUACCGCUGCCUCGUCCUACCACUUCCUCGUCCUACCUCUACCCAGUCCUGCCUCGUCCU
Long non-coding RNA from Oncorhynchus gorbuscha (pink salmon), 919 nucleotides. RefSeq lists it as uncharacterized. Lineage: Eukaryota; Metazoa; Chordata; Actinopteri; Salmoniformes; Salmonidae. The transcript has 3 exons. The record is from RefSeq and is a predicted model, not a curated record.